UUAAUUGAAGAGUUUGAUCAUGGCUCAGAUUGAACGCUGGCGGCAGGCCUAACACAUGCAAGUCGAGCGGCAGCGGAAAGUAGCUUGCUACUUUGCCGGCGAGCGGCGGACGGGUGAGUAAUGUCUGGGAAACUGCCUGAUGGAGGGGGAUAACUACUGGAAACGGUAGCUAAUACCGCAUGACCUCGCAAGAGCAAAGU
This 200-nucleotide ribosomal RNA is filed under the name Rouxiella aceris. RNAcentral's name for it is "Rahnella sp. SAP-1 partial 16S ribosomal RNA". It matches the Rfam family "Bacterial small subunit ribosomal RNA", at positions 1 to 207 of the family's 1533-position model. The record is from RNAcentral. Lineage: Bacteria; Pseudomonadati; Pseudomonadota; Gammaproteobacteria; Enterobacterales; Yersiniaceae.